GGGAGUAAUUACUACGGCGAGCGAAACCGGGAAAGCCCAACGUGAAAAUCUCCUUUCUUCGAAAGGCGAAUUGUAGUCUAGAGACCCGUUCUCCGUGUCGCUGCUGGCCCAAGUCCCCUGGAAAGGGGCGUCCGAGAGGGUGAGAACCCCGUGGGGCCGGUGUGUGGACACCUCACGAGGCGGCGUCGUCGAGUCGGGUUGCUUGGGAAUGCAGCCCCAAGGAGGUGGUAAAUCCCAUCUAAGGCUAAAUACCGACGGGAGACCGAUAGCGAACAAGUACCGUGAGGGAAAGAUGAAAAGCACUUUGAAAAGAGAGUUAAAAAGUACUUGAAAUUGUUGAGAGGGAAGAGAUGGGCCGCCGCGUGUGCGGCCAGGCAUACUCCCGCCCUGGUGGCGUGCUGGAUGCACUGGUUGCUGGUCAGCAUGGGUUGGUGUCGGCGGGACAAUCCCGGACGUUUGUUGUUCCGGUUCUGCCGCCGCUCCGACCGAGGCUUGCUGGGCGCUAGCAAUAGUCCCCCCGGGGAACUGCGCCCUCUAGAUGCUGGCAGAAGGCGUCUCA
This 559-nucleotide ribosomal RNA is filed under the name Micractinium reisseri. RNAcentral's name for it is "LSU rRNA". It matches the Rfam family "Eukaryotic large subunit ribosomal RNA", at positions 79 to 643 of the family's 3401-position model. Lineage: Eukaryota; Viridiplantae; Chlorophyta; Trebouxiophyceae; Chlorellales; Chlorellaceae. The record is from RNAcentral.